This 253-nucleotide ribosomal RNA is filed under the name uncultured bacterium. RNAcentral describes it as "partial 16S ribosomal RNA". It matches the Rfam family "Bacterial small subunit ribosomal RNA", at positions 524 to 776 of the family's 1533-position model. The record is from RNAcentral.
UACGAAGGGGGCUAGCGUUGCUCGGAAUCACUGGGCGUAAAGGGUGCGUAGGCGGGUCUUUAAGUCAGGGGUGAAAUCCUGGAGCUCAACUCCAGAACUGCCUUUGAUACUGGCGGUCUCGAGUCCGGGAGAAGUGAGUGGAACUGCGAGUGUAGAGGUGAAAUUCGUAGAUAUUCGCAAGAACACCAGUGGCGAAGGCGGCUCACUGGCCCGGUACUGACGCUGAGGUGCGAAAGCGUGGGGAGCAAACAGG